RNAcentral lists this ribosomal RNA (503 nucleotides) under uncultured bacterium. Its description in RNAcentral is "partial 16S ribosomal RNA". It matches the Rfam family "Bacterial small subunit ribosomal RNA", at positions 30 to 523 of the family's 1533-position model. The record is from RNAcentral.
AUUGAACGCUGGCGGCAGGCUUAACACAUGCAAGUCGAGCGGGGUGAUGGUGCUUGCACUAUCACUUAGCGGCGGACGGGUGAGUAACGCUUAGGAAUCUGCCUAUUAGUGGGGGACAACAUCUCGAAAGGGAUGCUAAUACCGCAUACGUCCUACGGGAGAAAGCAGGGGAUCACUUGUGACCUUGCGCUAAUAGACGAGCCUAAGUCGGAUUAGCUAGUUGGUGGGGGAAAGGCCUACCAAGGCGACGAUCUGUAGCGGGUCUGAGAGGAUGAUCCGCCACACUGGGACUGAGACACGGCCCAGACUCCUACGGGAGGCAGCAGUGGGGAAUAUUGGACAAUGGGGGGAACCCUGAUCCAGCCAUGCCGCGUGUGUGAAGAAGGCCUUAUGGUUGUAAAGCACUUUAAGCGAGGAGGAGGCUCUUUUGGUUAAUACCCAAGAUGAGUGGACGUUACUCGCAGAAUAAGCACCGGCUAACUCUGUGCCAGCAGCCGCCGUAA